UGCUGCCAGCGCCCGCGGGAAAGGUCGUGCUGGGAUAGAACAAGCGGCAUCAGUGGCGCGUCCGUGCUGCCCGGGGAGCUGCCCUCGGUGUCCUGCUGUGCCGCCCUCAGCCCAGCCCUGUCAGGGCUGCCGCGCUUUCUCCCUCUAUAAUUUCAGAGGUUGGCAAAGAUCGGGAAAGGAAACGUGGAAAAUGAGCGAGAAUUUCUCCCGAGUGUGUGGCGGAGGAGUUUUGCACAGAGUCCUUGACAGCUGGACUGUAGAUUAAAAGGACUCACCAAAGCUGAGCUCCCAGUGGAAAGGCCUUGCCAAAAUGUAACUGUAUACGGGGUGUUUUGCAAGCCUGAGGAUCCCUGGCGUGUCUGGAGGCUUGUGUGUGUGCUCCGCGUUGCUGGGAUGAGUCAAGUGUUUAUUUUGUCAAUGCAUUAAGUAUUUCCCAGAGGAAAUGCAGCCGGUGUGGGUGAACGAGCUGCAGUUGCUAUGGUCUGGAUGGAGCAGCCUGCUGGGGCCUGAAGGAAAAUCCUAAACGUGUUUCUCUGGAUCCUUCCAAACUUCUCCAUGACCUUAUGAGUCACUCUUCUAUCACACCUGGUUUCCCGUUGAUAAGUUGUUGCAGUUUUCCACAUUCCUUCAAUUUCCUGUCCUGCUUCUACUAGUAUCCUACGAAAAAAACCC
Oenanthe melanoleuca is the source of this 672-nucleotide long non-coding RNA. RefSeq lists it as uncharacterized. NCBI's taxonomy places the organism in Eukaryota, Metazoa, Chordata, Aves, Passeriformes, Muscicapidae. The transcript has 2 exons. The record is from RefSeq and is a predicted model, not a curated record.